GACGAACGCUGGCGGCGUGCUUAACACAUGCAAGUCGAACGGAAAGGCCCUGCUUUUGUGGGGUGCUCGAGUGGCGAACGGGUGAGUAACACGUGAGUAACCUGCCCUUGACUUUGGGAUAACUUCAGGAAACUGGGGCUAAUACCGGAUAGGAGCUCCUGCUGCAUGGUGGGGGUUGGAAAGUUCCGGCGGUUGGGGAUGGACUCGCGGCUUAUCGGCUUGUUGGGGAGGUUGUGGCUUACCAAGGCUUUGAAGGGUAGGCGGCCUGAGAGGGUGACCGGCCACAAUGGGACUGCGAGAGGGCCCAGACUCGUACGGGAGGCAGCAGUGGGGAAUAUUGCGCAAUGGGCGGAAGCCUGAUGCGGCAACGCCGCGUGCGGGAUGACGGCCUUCGGGUUGUAAACCGCUGUCGCCUGUGACGAAGAGGGAGUGACGGUAAUGGGUAAAGAAGCACCGGCUAACUACGUG
RNAcentral lists this ribosomal RNA (468 nucleotides) under uncultured bacterium. Its description in RNAcentral is "partial 16S ribosomal RNA". It matches the Rfam family "Bacterial small subunit ribosomal RNA", at positions 28 to 507 of the family's 1533-position model. The record is from RNAcentral.